AACCUCCGCAAUGUGAGAAAUCGCGACGGGGGGAUCCCAAGUGCCAUUCUUAACGGGAUGGCUUUUCAUUAGUGUAAAGAGCUUUUGGAAUAAGGGCUGGGCAAGACCGGUGCCAGCCGCCGCGGUAACACCGGCAGCUCUAGUGGUAGCAGUUUUUAUUGGGCCUAAAGCGUCCGUAGCCGGUUUAAUAAGUCUCUGGUGAAAUCCUGUAGCUUAACUGUGGGAAUUGCUGGAGAUACUAUUAGACUUGAGACCGGGAGAGGUUAGAGGUACUCCCAGGGUAGAGGUGAAAUUCUGUAAUCCUGGGAGGACCGCCUGUUGCGAAGGCGUCUAACUGGAACGGUUCUGACGGUGAGGGACGAAAGUUAGGGGCGCGAACCGGAUUAGAUACCCGGGUAGUCCUAACCGUAAACGAUGCGGACUUGGUGUUGGGGUGGUUUUGAGCUGCUCCAGUGCCGAAGGGAAGCUGUUAAGUCCGCCGCCUGGGAAGUACGGUCGCAAGACUAAAACUUAAAGGAAUU
This 521-nucleotide ribosomal RNA is filed under the name uncultured bacterium. RNAcentral describes it as "bacterial SSU rRNA". It matches the Rfam family "Archaeal small subunit ribosomal RNA", at positions 345 to 866 of the family's 1478-position model. The record is from RNAcentral.